Molecule: small nucleolar RNA, 88 nt
Filed under: Sorex araneus (European shrew)
Lineage: Eukaryota; Metazoa; Chordata; Mammalia; Eulipotyphla; Soricidae
Description: Small nucleolar RNA SNORA70 (ENSSARG00000020269.1)
Rfam family: Small nucleolar RNA SNORA70
About the family: snoRNA U70 seems to be exclusive to mammals and is a member of the H/ACA class of snoRNA which contain H (ANANNA) and ACA box motifs. H/ACA box snoRNAs are involved in the conversion of uridines to pseudouridines (5-ribosyluracil) a constituent of structural RNAs (transfer, ribosomal, small nuclear, and small nucleolar).
Source: RNAcentral
UGGGACCCCACGGCUGCAAGCAGUUUCCUUGGUAGCAUACACAGCCUGUGGCUUAUUUGGGUUUUUCUAAGGAACCUUGGAGAGAGUC